This 253-nucleotide ribosomal RNA is filed under the name uncultured bacterium. RNAcentral's name for it is "partial 16S ribosomal RNA". It matches the Rfam family "Bacterial small subunit ribosomal RNA", at positions 524 to 776 of the family's 1533-position model. The record is from RNAcentral.
UACGUAGGUGGCAAGCGUUGUCCGGAUUUACUGGGCGUAAAGAGCUCGUAGGCGGUCUGUCGCGUCGGAUGUGAAAACCCAGGGCUCAACCCUGGGCCUGCAUUCGAUACGGGCAGACUAGAGUUCGGUAGGGGAGACUGGAAUUCCUGGUGUAGCGGUGAAAUGCGCAGAUAUCAGGAGGAACACCGGUGGCGAAGGCGGUUCUCUGGGCAUUACCUGACGCUGAGGAGCGAAAGUGUGGGGAGCGAACAGG